UACGUAUGUGGCGAGCGUUGUCCGGAUUUACUGGGCGUAAAGAGAGCGUAGGCGGACUUUUAAGUGAGAUGUGAAAUACCCGGGCUCAACUUGGGUGCUGCAUUUCAAACUGGAAGUCUAGAGUGCAGGAGAGGAGAAUGGAAUUCCUAGUGUAGCGGUGAAAUGCGUAGAGAUUAGGAAGAACACCAGUGGCGAAGGCGAUUCUCUGGACUGUAACUGACGCUGAGGAGCGAAAGCAUGGGUAGCGAACAGGAUUA
RNAcentral lists this ribosomal RNA (257 nucleotides) under uncultured prokaryote. RNAcentral's name for it is "partial 16S ribosomal RNA". It matches the Rfam family "Bacterial small subunit ribosomal RNA", at positions 524 to 780 of the family's 1533-position model. The record is from RNAcentral.